This 3901-nucleotide ribosomal RNA is filed under the name Triticum aestivum (bread wheat). Its description in RNAcentral is "partial small subunit ribosomal RNA". Lineage: Eukaryota; Viridiplantae; Streptophyta; Magnoliopsida; Poales; Poaceae. The record is from RNAcentral.
GGAGAGAGGACAAAGCAGAGCGAAAGAGAGAGGAGGAGCGAGGCGGAGGGGAGGAGGGAGGGAGGAGGUCAGGUGUCUGGGUUUAGGGCAGCGAGCGUGUGUCCCUGCUCUCCCUUUCUAAAAAAAUUGCUUGACUUAAAAAAAAUAGGGCGACAAUAGAGGGAGGCUCGCCGUCGCGUCGCCCCUUCGGAUUUGGGAUCGGCCUCGCCUCGAAUAGGCCGCGCCGCCGCCGCCACCACCGUCACGACGAGGAGCGCCGUCACGCGCCGGCUGCCGCGCAGGGACGCCCGGAGCGGCGCGCUAAACCGCGCCCAAGCUCGAGACCUAGCGGCCUAAGCCCCGCCUGACCUAAAACGACCGACCAACGCGGCCACUCGCCGCAGCCCAAGGCCGCACAAAGCGAGGCACCCAAAAGCCACUGCUCCCAAACGACGGAACAAGGACGGGUUAAAACCGCCUAGAACGCCGGCAAGGCACGACUUUCCUACCGCUCCACUCACCACUGCGCGAGCUAGAACCCUCAUCAAAGACGACUCAAGCAUCGAGAGGGUAACGGACGUUGCUACCAUAGCAGUCCCGGCGGCUUGGGUUACCCCGGACCCGUCGGUCAUCCGCCACGGAGUGAAGAGGCCUGUUCAAGAUCGGACGAGUCACCACCGGUUGUCCCUUACCCACCCCCACCGCCGUACGAAGUCAGCGUCAGGGGCAAGAGUAGAGAGCAGAGGGGUUCCAGAGUCAAACCACCUUUACCGAACGACCCUCGUUGGAGAUUACAGAGGAGGGACGAAUUAGCCAGUAGCAAACCUUUACCCUCGGGACAAGGUUCAGGUCCUGUUUACGGUUUGCCACCCGAAGGCUACUUAUGGGAAGUCGUCUCUCCCCCGGAACUACCGCGACCACUAAAAUGACCGUGACCUCCUAGGCUAGGAUACAGCAAAGGUAGGAGGAGGAGCGUCCAAUCAAACCCGUUAGUGGAUCCAAGUCUAUAGGACGUCGUCGUCGUCUACCUACACGCCCUAAACGUCGUGGUCGUUCUCGUUGUUGUAGUUGUUGUAGUUGACGGCUACAGAAUGUUGGUCGUCGUCAACGGCAGUGUCGUCAGCGUCGGCGUCCGACGUCACUUCAACCUCUUACCACCGUCGUAACCACCUCAGUUUAAUCUUGUCGUCUACCCCGACGGACUGGUCUUACCGGGUCAGGUCUACUAGGCGUUACGACCUUUACAUUUUAAACUCAGCGUCGUCAACGUUCCCAACUCCCCAAACCCACGUCAGUUCUACCUCGUCAGCUCAAGGCUGGGUAGUCGUAAGAACGUCGUUGUCGUCGUUGUUGUCGUCGUGGUAGUGUUGAACAACGUUGAGUGCUUCGUCUUGGGAGUUCGACGACGCCGACGGGUUGACUUGGAGAACGUUGUCGUCGCAGAAAACGUAUACGUCGUCGUCGUAGUCGUCGUUGUGGUUGUCUAAGAUUUCUUAGACGGAAAUGUCUCUUUGGUUAAUGUUGUCGUUGUCGUCGUCGUCGUCGUUGUUGUUGUCGUCGUCGUCGUCGUCGUCAAUGAAGCAGUUGUCUCAGAUUUGUACUCUUGGGGUCCUUUCGACCGAGGAAUACUCGGUCCAUGGACACGUUUUUCUAACUGGGUAAUGUACAUAGUAGUUGUCUUGUCUGGUGUCCUAUUGUUAUAUCUCAUGACCUCUUUGAAACAGUUACUCAUAAAACGAGGUUGACGAUUUUUCUCCACCACACACAGAGAGAUACCUUCACCAGCAGUUUGAUGACCUCAAAAGGGAGUCCUACAGACCGUGACGCUUUAUACGUUAGCUUUCGGACCGGCCCCGAAACUCUGUUGUCAUCUCCAGAAUGGCGCUGAUACGGUUUAGUUUAUACGCUCACCAUGUAACCUUCUUGAUAACAUAUAACUAUACGGUGCGCUUAGGGUCUUACGUAGACCUGUCUAAUAAAACCUAAUACGUUUUCGUUAGGUCCUUUCACAGAAACUAGUUAACGCGCACCAUGCACUCCCCGUAGAUUCCUAUCAAAAAUUAGGUCUGGAGUUCUAACGUAGAACCCUCAAAACACGAUCCGCAGUACUCCUUGACUAAGGCGCCUCUAGUUAUUAUGGAGUCCAAUCAGUCGAACCGUGCCAACAUGUUUUUAUGGUCCGACGACGAGUUUCAAGUUGCUCAAAUUGCUGGGUCCUGUACGUCUUAUUAACGUUGAGCAAACAACGUACACGCGCGGUUGACCGAUUUCGGAACCUCCACGGAAACCAUUUACUAAAUCCUAUAUGUUUUUCUAUACAGGCGACGGAAGUCUAACGCCUCCACCAUUUGACGUACUUUCUAGACUAACUGAUAUCGUCCGUCUGUCCUAGACCCGGUUAGUUAUCGGAAGUAUUGAAAGGAGCCUCCUCAGGUCGUCCAUAAUUGGGAGAAGUUGGUGUCGUCGUUGUCGGACUUCUCGUCGUUAGACAAGGGGUCUCAAGUUUGGUCUCACCGGUUUUAAGACGAGGAUACCGACCACACGUCCGAAGACGGAGACGGUUACGUCUGCACUGUAGUUUAUCAAGAAACUGCACACGUGGGAGAUGUAGACGUGGGAGCGGUAGACAACAACCCGAGGAGGUUCCAAGUCACUUAAGAUCUGUUCUAGUAGGUUACCCGUGGCAUUUGCCAGACAUAUUGUCACCUCUACUACCGCACUAAGGGUUCCACUUGAGAUGUUCAAGUAACGUCAGUUUAGGCAGAGGGAGAAAGAGAAGGGUCCACGGGUGUAGUAGGUUAUUGUUGUACUACGGGCGGGGAGUCUUGUGUUUGGUUGAGUCAAGGGGUCGUCAUAGUAGUAGUUUGAACGGAGGUCACGUCGGUGGACGUUGAGCCCGAGUCCUUGGACUCGGUUCACUAAGGGUUUCGAGCCAAGUCUCUUAGAACGUUCUCUACUACAGUAGUGUUUACUUACCACAACCGGUACCUCGCUUACUGUACUUCUCUGGUUUGCCUGAACGGGGACCAUAAUUACCCCAAUUGACGAAUCAACCAUUACGCCAGUGUUUAGUGAGUCCUCACCCUCCUUACCCUAAACCCCGGUACCCACCUAAACCAAGUUUAUCACGUCGAUCACCUGACUCUUACCGUUACCGUUUGUUACGUUACCGUUUGUCACCCUACCGUUACUUACCGUCCUACCCCUACCCCUACGUAGUGUCACGUGUACUGGAUAGUGUCAACCCGGUCGUCGUCGUCGUCGUCUUGGUCGUCGUCGUGGUCGUCGUAGUCGUUGUCGUACUGUAUCCUUUAGUCGACAACCCACCUGAAUCUCGACGUUUAUCGAAGUUAUUAGAAGUCAUACUGACCUUUGGGAGAGUUAUCUAACUAGCCUUUAUGUUCAAGUUAUACUACUACCACGUCGACGGGAGUGACCCGAGUAACGAAUACCUCGCAGUUAACGAACGAGAGAACACAGGUUCGUAACCACGAAAACGUGGUUCCCACGGUACCUUUCCUUAGUAUCCGCUACCGUUCGUAGAGUCGAGCGCCGACAUACAACGUUGUCAUCAACCAAGGGACACAUAAUACGUUGAUACCAUGACCCGAUGGACGGAGCCAAUAGAAUGGCUUUCUAUCUCAAUUUUCUAAUCUUAGACGGACGUGACCCGUACCAGCCACAGUCACAAACCACAAUAAAGAGUGGGCCUUUUCUUCAAAAGGGAGGAAAAAAAAGGAAUUGCCUACUGUAGGCUUGACAUUAAAUAGUGGCGGGAACGACAUCGUUAGUAUACACGACUAUAGAAGCGGACUCUUAAGAGAGCAACAUCGGAAUGACAUGAGACAUAUUCGACAGUAUAACUGAGCACCUUUUUCAUAGUUCUUACAAAGGCAGCCCAUUUUCCACGUGAGAAGAUAGG